CGGGGCGGGCCGACCGGUCUGCCGAUGGGUAUGCACUGGCCGGCGCGUCCUUCCACCCGGAGACCGCGCCUACUCUUAACUGAGCGGGCGCGGGAGACGGGUCUUUUACUUUGAAAAAAUCAGAGUGUUUCAAGCAGGCAGUCGCUCUUGCAUGGAUUAGCAUGGGAUAAUGAAAUAGGACUCUGGUGCUAUUUUGUUGGUUUCGAACACCGGAGUAAUGAUUAACAGGGACAGUCAGGGGCACUCGUAUUCCGCCGAGAGAGGUGAAAUUCUCAGACCAGCGGAAGACGAACCACUGCGAAAGCAUUUGCCAGGGAUGUUUUCACUGAUCAAGAACGAAAGUUAGGGGAUCGAAGACGAUCAGAUACCGUCGUAGUCUUAACCAUAAACCAUGCCGACUAGGGAUUGGAGGAUGUUCCAUUUGUGACUCCUUCAGCACCUUUCGGGAAACUAAAGUCUUUGGGUUCCGGGGGGAGUAUGGUCGCAAGGCUGAAACUUAAAGGAAUUGACGGAAGGGCACCACCAGGAGUGGAGCCUGCGGCUUAAUUUGACUCAACACGGGGAAACUUACCAGGUCCAGACAUUGUGAGGAUUGACAGAUUGAGAGCUCUUUCUUGAUUCGAUGGGUGGUGGUG
RNAcentral lists this ribosomal RNA (635 nucleotides) under Emiliania huxleyi. Its description in RNAcentral is "SSU rRNA". It matches the Rfam family "Eukaryotic small subunit ribosomal RNA", at positions 728 to 1282 of the family's 1831-position model. Lineage: Eukaryota; Haptophyta; Isochrysidales; Noelaerhabdaceae. The record is from RNAcentral.